UCUUAAUAGUGAGGUACAGUGUUUUUAUGGUUGUUUUUUUUUAUUAUUAUUCAUAAUUUUCAUGACACAUCAUCACCCUCAUAGUAACGUGCGCCUAAAAUGUGCAUUUUGUUCACAAAUUUUUGUUUUUCUUCUUUUGAGAUGAAAAAUUAAAAAGUCUGUGCUGCAGUGGAAUGGACAUUUCCCCCUCCAGGACCUACAAAAGCAUACUUCUGUGUGUGAUGGGACUAUUCAUAUUUGUACUGUAGUCCAUAUGAAAAACUGCUUGAGUGGACUGUCUGUCAAAAUAAAAAAAAGCAAGCCUACAGAUACAAAAAAAUCUCUGAAGACUUUCGUCUGCAAACACCCUGUAUAUCAGGGUCCAAUCACGAAUCUUCAGGAUGUGGGACAAUUCCCAGGGACGUCAUGUGUUAGUGUGUUUCUGUGAUCUUGUCUUUCACCACUCACAUCUGUAAAUAUUUUAAAAGAGUCCUAUAAAUACAAUGUUGAUUACGUGUACUGUAGUUUGAGUGCUAACUUUUAUAAGUUUAAAAGUUCCAAAAAAAUAAACAUUAAAGAACGCUUGCAGAUUUUUAAUUUUUUUCAAUAAAACUGUUGUAUGUAACAACAUAAAGCUGAGAAAAUGAAUUAAUAUAACUGCUAAUGUUGUAGGUGCAACAUCAGCAAACAUUUGUAAAUUGUAAAUGUAAAUGUGUGUUUUGUCUGUGUAAAAUGUGUAAAAUCAAAGAAACAAGAAUAUCUUGCAUUUUAACCUUACAUUUCUAGUUUAACCUCAAAAAGAUGCUCACAACAAGUGACAAAAUGUGUGCGUACAUUUUUAAGUCUUGCUAGUGUAAACAUUCAAGUGCAAGAAGAAUAAGAACUCAAUUCAGUUCUCGUUUUUUUGAGUGCGAACACAUGUACUACUAACAAAUCUAUAAAUCUAUAAACAAAGUCUACUAGUAUUCUCUAAUGACUGCUAGUUGCAAAGUUACUCAUUAGCCUAUGUCUAAAGUGGGCUAUCAAAAUAAAGUGUUAUCAUAAAUAAUCAAAUGUCUGUCUGCAAGUAAAACGUUACUGAGUGAAGCAACGUCAACUUGUCAGUGAAAGUUUUCUCCCUGAACAUCUGUGUUUUGGACCGUUUAUCAGAGCGCAGUGGUGUACGUUCUGAAACUUUGAGUAACCACUUCUUCUUUCAGUUGUGCUGAAGUGUAGAGUUUUUGCAGCGCUCUGACGACUACACUUAUUUGAGAGUCAAAUGCAAGGAUUUUCGUCCAUAAUUAAGUUUUUCAUUUUCUUCAUCUACGUACCUUUUGUUUACUCAGAGUCACACACUUUCAUGACUACAUACACUGGAAUAAAUGGACUGACGAUUGCAGGAAUCCCAGAGUUUUCUGCUGUAACGACACUGGAUGGACAGCAGAUUGAUUAUUAUGACAGUGAGAUAAAGGAGCUGAUUCCCCGACAGGACUGGAUGAAGGAGUUCAGUGCAACUGGAGACACAUGGAAAGAAGAUACUGAGAUCAGAGAACAAGUACAGCGUUAUUAAGUUGUCUUGAGAAAGCCACUACUGCACUAAGCAUUACUGAAAUGCUAUUUAAACUUCGUCGUCUUCUUCUGAGACUAAAAUUAUCAACUCUAACUCCUCCUAGAGCUUUAACUCUACAAACUCCAAACUCAGCCCAGAUCUUCAGGCUGAUCUGAAGUGUGUUGCUGUAUCUUUUUUUGAUCAAACUGAUCAGACUCAUGGUUUUCAUAUAGAUUUUUCAUAUCUAUCUAUAAUAGCAGCCAGAAUCAUGUUAGUAACUUGCUAAUCAUCCUAGAAACAUGUUAACAUGCUGUUAAUCAUGCUAGAAACAUGCUAGCAACAUGCUAAUCAUACUAGAAACAUACUAGCAUGUUGUUAAUCUUCUAGUAUCUUGCUAAUAAUGUUAGAAUCAUGCUAACAACAUGUUAAUAAUCUAUCUAUCUGUCUGUCUGUCUAACAAACUGCAUUUAAACUUUUAAAAUCUUUUAAAACUACUUUAAUUUAAAACUUUUCAAACUUUUCAAACUUUUUCAAACUUUCUGGUCCGGUUUUCUCAAGCCAACUUAAAGUUUGUCUUGACAAACUUUUUUAUCUAGUUUUAUCUUGGAAUUGGAAUUGAAAAUGUCACAAUUUCAGCUUUGCGCCACCUAGUGGUGAUUUUGUGUACGAGUUUCACAUGUGACUGGGUUGUAUUUACUGCCACACCGCUAACAGGUGUUUUAGUUGACUACCUGUUGUACAUCCUUCAUGUUUCUUCAGACAAUUGGAAGAUGAACCAGUAUUUUUGUGUGGCGGAGCACAAGGGAAAGACCAUUCAGUAGAUUCGUGAUCAAGAGUAACAACAGUAAGUUGCUAAUAGUUCAGAAUAAUGGUUUAUGCUCACAUUUUGGUUGUACUACCCAUUUAAUGUACUAAACAGUGAUUUUUGUUUGCUUGUUUAUAAACAGUGUAAUUCCAAACAUUUCCUUUUAAUCAUUAAAUUACUUUGCAGAAACUGAGCAGAAAUCAAAAUGAAAAGCCAACCUAUAGUGACAAACAACUUUGAAGAGUUUCCUCCAAUCAUCUGCACUUUUCCCUGAUUUCAGUAUAACUGGGAAUCCUCAGGAUAUGAGAGAACAGAUGAUUUCCAGCAUGCAUGUGUGACCAAAAUAUGUUUUGCUAUUCUUUGUUUUCUUUUUUUUUUUCCUUGUAAUUAUACAAUUUUAGUACAAUGCUUCUUUUUUCAAUUUGUAAGUUUACUGAUUAAGUGUAGUUUUGUGGGCUUUUAUGACUUGAAAUGUAAAAAAAUGAAACAUUGAAAAUUCAGUGCAGUUGUUGCAAUUUUCUUUUUUUCAUCAAAAUGGUUGUAAGACACAAUUUAAAGUUGAAAAAAACUAAAGCAAGUUUUAAGGAUAAUUUAAUAAUGAUAUGUGCAACAUCAGUUAAAUUUGUAGGUAAAUAAUGUGUUUUGUAAGUUAAAAGUGGAACUAAACUCUGCAGGAAGGUAGAUCUCCAGGAACAGGGUUGAGCACCCCUGCUUUAUAGUGGUUAAACAUUAGAUUAGAUUAGAUUAGAUUAGAUUCAACUUUAUUGUCAUUACACAUGUACAAGUACAAGGCAACAAAAUGCAGUUUAGGUCUAACCAGGAGUGCAAUAAGCAGUAAGUGCAGGAUAAAGGUAUAAGUUAUAAGUGCACUUAAAAGGGAUAUGUGCAGGGAGAAACUAUGGGUAAUAUUUACAGAUGGAUAUACUGUGAGCAUAAUAUACAGAUUGCUAGUAACUAUAAUCAGAGAUUUACAAUAGAUGAACAAUAUAUACAAGUUGCUAUUAACUGUAAUCAGGAAUUUGCAGAUAGAUAUGAACAUAAUGAACAGGUUGCUAUUUUCUAUAAACAGGAAUUUACAAAUAGACAUGUACAGAUAUAUAUGUAAUCAGAAAUUUACAAAUGUAUUGUGCAAUGGAUAUUUGCUUUUCAAAUAGGUAUGUACAGUGUAGUGCAAUAAAUAUUAAAUAGUGCAAUGGUAAU
Molecule: long non-coding RNA, 3512 nt
Organism: Labeo rohita (rohu)
Lineage: Eukaryota; Metazoa; Chordata; Actinopteri; Cypriniformes; Cyprinidae
Exons: 4
Source: RefSeq, a predicted model, not a curated record